CCUACGGGUGGCAGCAGUAGGGAAUCUUCCACAAUGGGCGAAAGCCUGAUGGAGCAACGCCGCGUGGGUGAAGAAGGUCUUCGGAUCGUAAAACCCUGUUGUUAGAGAAGAAAGUGCGUGUGAGUAACUGUUCACGUCUCGACGGUAUCUAACCAGAAAGCCACGGCUAACUACGUGCCAGCAGCCGCGGUAAUACGUAGGUGGCAAGCGUUAUCCGGAAUUAUUGGGCGUAAAGGGAGCGCAGGCGGUUUUUUAAGUCUGAUGUGAAAGCCUUCGGCUUAACCGGGGAAGGGCAUUGGAAACUGGGAGACUUGAGUGCAGAAGAGGAGAGUGGAAUUCCAUGUGUAGCGGUGAAAUGCGCAGAGAUAUGGAGGAACACCAGUGGCGAAGGCGGCUUUCUGGUCUGUAACUGACGCUGAGGUUCGAAAGCGUGGGUAGCAAACAGGAUUAGAUACCCUUGUAGUC
RNAcentral lists this ribosomal RNA (465 nucleotides) under uncultured bacterium. Its description in RNAcentral is "partial 16S ribosomal RNA". It matches the Rfam family "Bacterial small subunit ribosomal RNA", at positions 338 to 795 of the family's 1533-position model. The record is from RNAcentral.